This 407-nucleotide ribosomal RNA is filed under the name uncultured bacterium. Its description in RNAcentral is "partial 16S ribosomal RNA". It matches the Rfam family "Bacterial small subunit ribosomal RNA", at positions 30 to 526 of the family's 1533-position model. The record is from RNAcentral.
AUUGAACGCUGGCGGCAGGCCUAACACAUGCAAGUCGAGCGGAGCGGCGGACGGGUGAGUAAUGCCUAGGAAUCUGCCUGGUAGUGGGGGAUAACGUCCGGAAACGGGCGCUAAUACCGCAUACUAUCACAUGAGCCUAGGUCGGAUUAGCUAGUGGGUGGGGUAAAGGCAUACCAAGGCGACGAUCCGUAACUGGUCUGAGAGGAUGAUCAGUCACACGGGAACUGUGACACGGUCAAUACUCCGACGGGAGUCAUCAUGGGGGAAGUUUGGACAAGGGGGGAAACCCUGAUCCAGCCAUCCCGCGUGUGCGAUGAAGGCCUUCGGUUUGUAAAGCACUUUUGGCAGGAAGGCGGUACCUGCAGAAUAAGCACCGGCUAACUACGUGCCAGCCGCCGCGGUAAUUC